Molecule: ribosomal RNA, 301 nt
Filed under: uncultured bacterium
Lineage: Bacteria
Description: partial 16S ribosomal RNA
Rfam family: Bacterial small subunit ribosomal RNA
Source: RNAcentral
CAGUCGCCACGGGAAUACGAAGGGGGCUAGCGUUGCUCGGAAUUACUGGGCGUAAAGGGAGCGUAGGCGGACAUUUAAGUCAGGGGUGAAAUCCCAGAGCUCAACUCUGGAACUGCCUUUGAUACUGGGUGUCUUGAGUGUGAUAGAGGUAUGUGGAACUCCGAGUGUAGAGGUGAAAUUCGUAGAUAUUCGGAAGAACACCAGUGGCGAAGGCGACAUACUGGAUCAUUACUGACGCUGAGGCUCGAAAGCGUGGGGAGCAAACAGGAUUAGAUACCCCCGUAGUCCCUGUCUCUUAUAC